GCUGAGCUGUGAUGGGGAAGCUCCUUAUGGAGCGAAGUCUUUGAUUCCCCGCUGCCAAGAAAAGCUUCUAGCGAGAUAAAAGGUGCCUGUACCGCAAACCGACACAGGUAGGCGAGGAGAGAAUCCUAAGGUGUGCGAGAGAACUCUGGUUAAGGAACUCGGCAAAAUGACCCCGUAACUUCGGGAGAAGGGGUGCUUUCUUAACGGAAAGCCGCAGUGAAUAGGCCCAAGCGACUGUUUAGCAAAAACACAGCUCUCUGCGAAGCCGUAAGGCGAAGUAUAGGGGGUGACACCUGCCCGGUGCUGGAAGGUUAAGGAGAGGGGUUAGCGUAAGCGAAGCUCUGAACUGAAGCCCCAGUAAACGGCGGCCGUAACUAUAACGGUCCUAAGGUAGCGAAAUUCCUUGUCGGGUAAGUUCCGACCCGCACGAAAGGUGUAACGAUUUGGGCACUGUCUCAACCAGAGACUCGGUGAAAUUAUAGUACCUGUGAAGAUGCAGGUUACCCGCGACAGGACGGAAAGACCCCGUGGAGCUUUACUGUAGCCUGAUAUUGAAUUUUGGUACAGUUUGUACAGGAUAGGCGGGAGCCAUUGAAACCGGAGCGCUAGCUUCGGUGGAGGCGCUGGUGGGAUACCGCCCUGACUGUAUUGAAAUUCUAACCUACGGGUCUUAUCGACCCGGGAGACAGUGUCAGGUGGGCAGUUUGACUGGGGCGGUCGCCUCCUAAAGUGUAACGGAGGCGCCCAAAGGUUCCCUCAGAAUGGUUGGAAAUCAUUCGUAGAGUGCAAAGGCAUAAGGGAGCUUGACUGCGAGACCUACAAGUCGAGCAGGGACGAAAGUCGGGCUUAGUGAUCCGGUGGUUCCGCAUGGAAGGGCCAUCGCUCAACGGAUAAAAGCUACCCCGGGGAUAACAGGCUUAUCUCCCCCAAGAGUCCACAUCGACGGGGAGGUUUGGCACCUCGAUGUCGGCUCAUCGCAUCCUGGGGCUGUAGUCGGUCCCAAGGGUUGGGCUGUUCGCCCAUUAAAGCGGUACGCGAGCUGGGUUCAGAACGUCGUGAGACAGUUCGGUCCCUAUCCGUCGUGGGCGUAGGAAAUUUGAGAGGAGCUGUCCUUAGUACGAGAGGACCGGGAUGGACGCACCGCUGGUGUACCAGUUGUUCUGCCAAGGGCAUAGCUGGGUAGCUAUGUGCGGAAGGGAUAAGUGCUGAAAGCAUCUAAGCAUGAAGCCCCCCUCAAGAUGAGAUUUCCCAUAGCGUAAGCUAGUAAGAUCCCUGAAAGAUGAUCAGGUUGAUAGGUUCGAGGUGGAAGCAUGGUGACAUGUGGAGCUGACGAAUACUAAUAGAUCGAGGACUUAACC
This 1358-nucleotide ribosomal RNA is filed under the name Bacillus thuringiensis serovar kurstaki. RNAcentral's name for it is "bacterial LSU rRNA". It matches the Rfam family "Bacterial large subunit ribosomal RNA", at positions 1555 to 2925 of the family's 2925-position model. RNAcentral also lists the same sequence under 1 other name. Lineage: Bacteria; Bacillati; Bacillota; Bacilli; Caryophanales; Bacillaceae. The record is from RNAcentral.